GAGGCUGAGGAGCUGUACCAGAAGAGAGUCCUGACAAUUACCGGCAUCUGUGUGGCUCUGCUGGUCGUGGGCAUCGUCUGUGUGGUCGCCUACUGCAAGACUAAAAAACAGAGGAGGCAAAUGCAUCACCAUCUCCGGCAGAACAUGUGUCCGGCCCACCAGAACCGAAGCCUGGCCAAUGGGCCCAGCCACCCUCGGCUGGACCCUGAGGAGAUCCAGAUGGCAGAUUACAUUUCCAAAAAUGUGCCAGCUACAGACCAUGUGAUCCGGAGGGAAGCUGAGACCACAUUUUCUGGGAGCCACUCCUGUUCACCCUCUCACCACUGUUCCACAGCCACACCCACCUCCAGCCACAGACAUGAGAGCCACACCCCAGGUGCCGACUUUCGAGAUCACGUCGCCCAACUCUGCCCACGCCGUGUCGCUGCCACCCGCAGCGCCCAUCAGCUACCGCCUAGCGGAGCAGCAGCCGCUCCUGCGGCACCCAGCGCCGCCCGGCCCGGGGCCAGGGCCCGGAGCGGACAUGCAGCGCAGCUACGACAGCUACUACUACCCGGCGGCGGGGCCCGGGCCGCGGCGCGGCGCCUGCGCGCUGGGAGGCAGUUUGGGCAGCCUGCCCGCCAGCCCCUUCCGCAUCCCGGAGGACGACGAGUACGAGACCACGCAGGAGUGCGCGCCCCCGCCACCGCCGCGGCCG
Molecule: long non-coding RNA, 697 nt
Filed under: Rattus norvegicus (Norway rat)
Lineage: Eukaryota; Metazoa; Chordata; Mammalia; Rodentia; Muridae
Description: long non-coding RNA NONRATT013752
Source: RNAcentral